Molecule: RNA transcript, 6523 nt
Organism: Leptopilina heterotoma
Lineage: Eukaryota; Metazoa; Arthropoda; Insecta; Hymenoptera; Figitidae
Gene name: serine proteinase stubble-like
Exons: 10
Source: RefSeq, a predicted model, not a curated record
UGUACUGGAACUACUUGGACAGGCUAUCUCCCUUCUUUCUCUCUCAUUUCUCUCUUCUCUCAGACUGAAGUGUACACUCCACUACUAAGAGGCCCCCUCUUCUUACCUCUAUCAGAUAUAGGAAGCACAUCGUACUCCGACGUGUGUCUUGUCCGCUCGAAUGCAGCGUGGCGCGGUUUUACUCGAGGGUCCUCCGCAGUUCAAAAUCCUCACCUCGUCGCACAGGACGUUCCACCCGAAACUUUUCUCGCCCACUCACAUUCACCCUGAAACUUUUCGCCAAUUAAAGCUCACUCCACCACUGCUCCCUUCAAUCUUUAAUUACUUUUGCUAAUCGCCAAGAGGUCUUUGCAUAGUAAGGCGACUACCAUUCGGGUGACUACCGUUCUGGUGAUUUACAUCCAGUGAAUUCUGGUGAUUUACGUCAGGUGAAUGCUGAUGAUUUCCAACCGGUGAAUUCUGGUGAUUUCCAUCCGGGUGACUUGCAUUUAGGUGAUUUUCAUCCAGGUGACGACCGUUCAGGUGAUUACGGAAAGUUGCGACAAGUUAAGCACCAACGACGUGACUACCAUCAAAGUUGGAUCAAAGUUGUUACCAUUGUUAUCGUCAAAGUACCAUCAAAGUUGAUACCAUCAAAGUUGGUACCAUCAAAGUUGCUAUCGUCAAAAUCGGUACCAUCAAAGUUGCUAUCGUCAAAGUUGAUACCAUUAAAGGUGCUAUCAUCAAAGUUGAUACCAUCAAAGUUGCUAUCAUCAAAGUUGGUACCAUCAAUGUAAUCUUCUCUCAAGUAAAUUUCUAUCAAGGAAAUUUCCAUCAAAGGGAUUUUUAUCAAAAAAUUUGCUAUCAAGGGAACUUUCAUCAAAAAAGGACUCCGAUUAAAGAGGGUAAUUUUUUAACAAGGAAAUUUCUAUUAAAAUUUCUAUCAAGAGAGGACUCCGAUUAAAGGGGAUAAUUUUCUAUCAAGAAAAUUUUUAUCGAAUUUCUAUCAAGGAAGAGAGUUUACCUUGAUAUUAAUAUCAAGGGACCUGCUAUCAAGAGAGGACUUCCGUCAAAGAGGGAAAUUUCUAGCAAGGAAACUCCAGUCUAAAGAGGACUCCCAUCAAAUCAUCACUUCAGCAGUGGGAUAACUUUCAGGAGGACACUUCCGGCAACGAGAGGAGAACUUCUCAUGUCACUGAGGGGAUUUCUCAUAUUAAGAAGUCAUCUCACGUCCUUGAUUCGACUUCCAGUGUUCGGGCAAAUUCUCCCAUCAAGGGACCAACUCCUCCUCUAAGAGAAUCUCUUUUACAAAAUUGUCUCAUAGGAGAAAUAUUUUUUCUAAAACAAUAAUUUUUUUUUCUAAAUUUCUAUAGAUUCCGUAGAUUUUUGUAGAAAAAGAUACCAUUUUUUCUUGUGUAGGAAAGGAUCAAAAGUUGUCUUUUGAAAGUGAUCAACUUCUUUUCGAAAGGAAUCAACUUUUCUGCUAAAGGGAUCAAUUUCUUUUCGAAAGAUAUCGACUUCUUUUCGAAAGCUAUUAAUUUAUCUACAAAAGGACUCAAGUUUUUCUGCGAAAGGUCUCAAGUUCCUCUUUCCCUUCGAAAGGAACCAACUUUUUUCCUAAAGGCUCAAAUUUAUUUCUAGAAAAGGAAAUAUUUUUUCUCUAUCAAGAAAUCAAUUGCUUGCAAUAAUAGAAGUAGCGAAUUUUUCAGAAAAAAAUUGAAAUAAGAAAAAUUAAAUUAAAAAAUCUUUUGACAAAUUCAUCGAAGGAUUUCGUGGGCAGGGAGGAAAACUUUUUACCAAGGAGGAGAAUUCAAGAAAAUUUGUUUUUACUUUAUCGAUUAGAAAUCAAGUUCUAGUAGAAAUAAAACAAAUACAGAUGAUUUUGCAGUACCAUAAUUUUUCAGUAGCAGAAUUCGUAAUUCAAAAAAACUAAUCAAAACGUUACCAUAAUUUAAAAAAAGUAAUUCAAACCGUGCUCGUAAUUAAAGAAUACCUGAUUCAGAAACGUGAUCGUAGUUCCAAAAAAGUAAUUCAAAAAUCUAAUUUAAAAAACGUGCUCGUAUUAAAAAAAAACAAAUUCAAAACGAAUGGAAAACAAUUCAUUAAAUUAACCCCAAGUGCUCGUUUUCCUAAAAAAAAAAAAUAAUUCUUAAUUAUUCAAAUUUGAAUUACACUCCCAACUUGUAAUCUGAUAAGAACAUUGAGAUACGAGAACUUAAGCUGGAAAUUGAGAUAUAAAGAGACACUCGAGUCAAGAAACCACCUGUUGUGCGUGCAUCAGUUCAAAAUACACUGGAUCAUGAGUCGCCUGAUUGAUAUCAAUACCCAAACAUCUUAACAGGCCACAUCCUCUUUUCUCACUCUCUUUCUUUUUUUUUCUUUUCGUGUGGGCAAAAAUGAAGCAACACUGGAGAGAAAUUAAUCUGAGAAUUUGAAAAAAAUAAUUUUUUCUCACAUAGAUUCUCGAAAAAGUGCAAAUUAUCUUCUUUUACUUGUAAUAAUUAACGGACGAGUGUGAUUUUCAAUGUUUGGAAAAAUUUACCUAAAGUGUGAACCAUGCCGAGAAUUAGUGUCGUCAUUUGAUUUGAAUUUAGAACGAAAGUAGAAGUGCGAGAAGAAAAAUUUUCUGGUUUUCUUUUCUAGUAUUUAGUGGAUUUGUUAUUUUUGGAUGUCAUUCUUUUUUAGUGUGACUAGAUUGUAAAUUUUUUUCGAGUGAAUUGAUAUUGAAGAGGAAAUAAAUAUUAUAGUGGACGAUUGGAAUAUGACGGAAGACUGAUUGAAAUCUGGAAAUUAUCAUUUUCGAACUGGGAUCAGGAUGCGGUGGAUCGGUUACGUGGCCACAAUUCUCUGGUGGUUGGGCAUCGCCAGGUCCCUCAGCUCACUUAAUCGAGGUCACAGUUAUAAAAUCAGCCCGAAACCAUGUCGAGUGGCAAACAUGUUGGGCACAGAGGGCACAUGUAUGUUCGUGUGGGAGUGCAUCAAGUCAGAGGGCACACACGUUGGAGUGUGUGUUGACACAUUUAUGUUCGGUAGUUGUUGCGUUCAUAAUGCAACGAGUAAUAGCAUAAGUUCUCACAAUCCAUCCACCUCAUCCAACACAUUGAGGCCGACCUUGGCCGAGGCCCUGUCGAGUGAAUCGACAAGGCUAACGUUGACGUCUCUCUCCGUAACGUCACAUCCAUCAUCAUCAUCAUCAUCAUCUUUAUCAUCCAGCACAACACUGCGACCCCAGAGUCAAUUUCAAGGCUCGCAGAAGCAAGCUGUUAGUACCACUAGUCAGUUAUUAGGUUCAAAGAAUCAAGGCGUAAGCUCGACAAGUCAUUACCAUCCUCCUCAUCAUCAUCAUCAACAACAACAACAACAUCAUCAUCAAACCUUGGGAACAUCCAAACCAAGUGUCAAUUCAACAAGACCUUAUAAACCACUACAAGUGAAUUCAAGUCGACCUCUACAAAAGAGGCCGCACGCAAAACCCUCUUCUGGUCAGGAAGACAGACAUCAUCAGACGUCCAUUAAUCCCGGCCAAGUGGCGGGAUUCUGGGAGAAAAAUUCAAGACCACAAGUAGUUGGUGGUCAUCAUCAUCAGAUGAUGAAGACAAGGCCCGAGUCUGCGGAACAUCGACCAGGCCAUGGUCAACAAUCGUCGAAUGACCAUCAUCAAGUGCUGCAGGAUAAAAUCGACAAUAAACACAGCACUUUAUUGAUAAGACUACCAAACAAGAAUCAGGGUUCGAUCAAGGGCCAAGAGCUCAGGCCACUUAGUCAGAGACCUUCGGAAUCGCGGCCCGACGACAGUAAAAAUGAGGAGAGUGAUCUCGUUGUCCAGGAGACGAUCCACAGGCCGAGCAUCAAUUCCCUAGAUGAUAAAGAUAAUGUGAAUAGUUCGCACCUUAGUUUAAAUUUUAUCCACACUGAACCGCCGCAAUGGGCGACAAAACCGGUAACCUCCAAUCAUAAGCCUUCGAUAGAUUAUUCAAAGCCAUAUUUUACACUAAAAACAUCAACACAUCGACCGCAAUUAAUGAAUGGAGGAAUGGAUGAUAGACCCAUGUUUCAUUUGAAACCUGACAGUCAUAAUAAACCCAGUAAAUCGUCAACGACAUCAAAGCCCACGUAUUAUAGCAGUCAAUCAACCAGCGCAGCCGGAUCUGUACCACAAACACCACACUGGCAAGUGACGACGGAACCAGCGUUCGUCACAAAAAAUCAGAAACCAUCGUCAAUUAAGCCCAUUACAACAUUAUUUGAAACAACACGACCUGGUGGUUCUUAUUUUUGGUCCGAAAGCAGUUGGACGCCACCGAGACCAUCAAUGAAGCCACACUGGACGGAUCAUCCGAAUCUAAUGCAAAAUGGUCCCGAGAGUUUUCCCCAGAAACCAAGUUUUAAACCAACGGAAAUACAAGAAAAUGAUUAUCAUAAGCCCUUUGGUGCAGCACAUUUUAUAACAACAUCCUAUAAUGAAACACCGACGAAACCGCGACCAACGAAAAAAACAACCACGACUACCACCACGACCACAACAACGACGACAACCACAACUCAAAGGCCAUCUUCAACGACGACAUUGUCAACAUCGACCACAUCGGAAAGUCUUCCUGAAAAACCUCAGAGAACCGGAUCUGUUUUGACAAUACCGGCAGCAGCCGAGAGUCGAAAUAUGCCAUGCGGUGUGCCGCCACUUUUUCCCCGACCGGAAACGCGAAUCGUCGGCGGUAAGGACGCUGCUUUUGGAAGAUGGCCCUGGCAAGUCUCAGUUAGGAGGACCUCAUUUUUUGGAUUCUCCAGUACACAUCGCUGUGGAGGCGCUAUUCUCAAUGAAAAUUGGAUUGCCACUGCUGGACAUUGUGUCGAUGAUUUGCUGAUAUCUCAAAUUCGAAUUCGAGUGGGAGAAUAUGAUUUUUCAUCAGUCCAGGAGCGACUUCCUUAUGUUGAACGAAGUAUAAGUAAAAAAGUCGUUCAUCCGAAAUAUAAUUUCUUCACAUUUGAAUAUGAUCUUGCAUUGGUGAGACUCGAGACUCCAUUAACGUUUGUCGCACAUAUUUCUCCAAUUUGUUUACCUGCUGCCGAUGAAUUACUUAUUGGAGAAAAUGCCACUGUCACUGGAUGGGGAAGACUCAGUGAAGGUGGAACUUUGCCCUCAGUGUUACAAGAGGUGUCCGUUCCAAUUGUGAGUAACGACAGAUGUAAAUCAAUGUUCCUUAAAGCGGGAAGACACGAAUUCAUACCGGAAAUUUUUCUCUGUGCCGGAUACGAAUCAGGAGGUCAAGAUUCGUGUCAAGGUGAUUCUGGAGGUCCUCUGCAAGUUCGCGGAAAAGAUGGUCGCUACUUCCUCGCUGGCAUUAUUUCCUGGGGAAUUGGAUGCGCAGAAGCCAAUUUACCUGGUGUUUGUACAAGAAUCUCGAAAUUCGUUCCUUGGAUCAUUGCCAAUGUUGGCUGAUCACUUUCGUGGAGAUCUUCAAAUCAUCAUUUUUCUUUUUGUUCUGAAGUCUUUCACUUCUCAACAUCAUGAACCAAUGACACGACUGAUGAAAAAAUAUAUUGUCGAUUAUUUUUCAUUAUCCAUAAACGAUAUUAGAAUAAUACCGAUAUUUUUUUUUUUUUUGAUUCGCUUUAGUUUUGAGAUCAAUAUCGCAUUGCUCAAUAAUAAUAUUGAUGCGAAAAAUGAUCGAAUAUUUGAAUGAACGUUUGAGAUCAUUAACGAGACGUCUUUUUUUCGCAUGACGCUGAUAAAUCAUUGUAAUAUAGUAGCUUUACUUUUUUUUUAAAAAUAAUUAUAAAAACACUUCAAGUGUUUCGAUCAUUUAUGAAUAAAAUUGUGCACCAAGACUGUGUACUAUUUUCGUGACUGCGCAUUUUUGCAAAUUUUCAUAUUUCUUUUUUUGUCAUAUUAAAUUAUUAACUUUAUUAUUAUAUUAUUAUUAAUAAUAAUAAUAAAAAUAAUAACUAAAUUUGAAUUUAUGAACAUUUUUACUAAUUCAAAUUUAAGGAGAAUAAUAAUGAAAGUAAAUGAAUAAUUAAAAAAAUUAAAACCAAAUAAAUGAAAAUUGUCAGUGGCAAAAGCUACCGUGAGGUUAAUUUAUUAUUUGUUAUUAUUAUUUAUUAUUUUCAAUUUAUUAUUACGAAAAUGAAGAAAAAAAAUCAAUAAAGAAAAAUUGGCGUAAAUCGUUUGGAAAAAAUAUAUCAAAAAUAAUUUUGACCGUUAUAAAAGGCGACAAGAAAAGAAGAAAAUUUGCAAUAAAAGUCACGAAACUAAUUGAUCUGUGCCAAGACGUAUUUAAUUCGAGGCGCAGAAAAUGUAUUUAUAUAUAAAUACGCAUAUACGAUAAAUAAAUAAUAUAUUCGCAUAGCGUUUACUAUUUAUAGGUGAAAUGAAAUAAGAAAGUCCCCUCUUGUGACUUACAUAUUAAAAAAAAAUCUCCUUCAAAUGUACAGAAUUAGAAUUUUAAAUUUCUGAUUACAUCUUUCAUGGGAAAGAAAAGACAAAUUUUUUAUUCUUACAUUCGAAGAAAACUUGCAUUUUUUUACAACAAAUCUCUCUAUA